GGCUCCUUCGCUCAGUUGGUUAGAGUGUAAUGCUAACAAUGCCAGAGUCGCGAGUUCAAGCCCCGCAUGGGCCA
RNAcentral lists this transfer RNA (74 nucleotides) under Heterocephalus glaber (naked mole-rat). It matches the Rfam family "tRNA". Rfam says of the family: Transfer RNA (tRNA) molecules are approximately 80 nucleotides in length. Lineage: Eukaryota; Metazoa; Chordata; Mammalia; Rodentia; Bathyergidae. The record is from Rfam by way of RNAcentral.